UACGAAGGGAGCUAGCGUUGUUCGGAAUCACUGGGCGUAAAGCGCACGUAGGCGGAUGUGUCAGUCAGGGGUGAAAUCCCGGAGCUCAACUUCGGAACUGCCUUUGAUACAGCACGUCUUGAGUCCGAUAGAGGUGGGUGGAAUUCCUAGUGUAGAGGUGAAAUUCGUAGAUAUUCGCAAGAACACCAGUGGCGAAGGCGGCUCACUGGCCCGGAACUGACGCUGAGGUGCGAAAGCGUGGGGAGCAAACAGG
Molecule: ribosomal RNA, 253 nt
Filed under: uncultured bacterium
Lineage: Bacteria
Description: partial 16S ribosomal RNA
Rfam family: Bacterial small subunit ribosomal RNA
Source: RNAcentral